GUAUCAUGACUGUCAGCUUAACGAAGAAGGCUGACCACCUGCCUCAACGUUGCCUUCAAGAAACGUGGGUUCUGCGAACAUUAUGACUCACUCCUUUGCAUACAGCAUAUUCACGUGAUUGGCAGUAACACGGUUAUGUUCAAGCUGUUCUAGACCACACUUUGCAUGAAUCUUAGUCAAAGAGCAACACACUUUGCCAGGUUGUGGCGUUCAAGGAUCCCGCUAUAACAUCUGACGUUUCGUACUUCCGCACGCCACCUUGAACGCAGCGUGAUUCUGCGAUGGCGGCUGCUCCACCUGGUCGGGCUGCUGGCUCCAGCGGGCAGCUCUUUCCCUGGGUUUUUCCACAAGGAAAAGUUACCUUGGAAAGCGAGAGUUCCAGAGUCUAAAGACCUGUGGCACCUCGUCUACUAAAACCUGGAGGCCUUUUAGUUAUGCAUUCUUGUUAAACCUUCAUUCAGAGACAACCCCAAGCUGAAGAGUUUGAACUCUAAACAUGUCCAAGGAUACGGACCAUGAAGAGUUCUUCGGACUACUACAAAUUGUCUAUCCGAAGAUGCAGAAGCUGACCGGAGGAUGGCUUAUGUACAAGGCUACAGGUGGAGAAAGCUUGCAUGGAUUCCGAGAUGGCAGCAGAGGAUUUUGAGGAGCAGAAGACCAUGGGAUGGCUGAGUCAACUGCCUGGACAAUGGAGAAGAGCAGAUCAAAAGGAGCAGAAGACCAUGGGAUGGCUGAGUCAACUGCCAUGAGCCUGGACAAUGGAGAAGAGCAGAUCAAAAGGUGCACGAUACUUUUCUGUGAGCCGCUCGUCUGAUGGUGAGGUCCAACACAACAGGCAGUCGGGUACACAACGAAGGUCGACGAUGGAGCUGAGGAUGAAAGUCAGAAGUUCUCCAGUCCUGUCUAGGCUGAAAUUUAGGAUGUUUCCGCUCCGGUCACUUUCUCUCUCGAACUCCACUACAACUCUACACCCCCUACGAUCUGUUCCAGGAUGACUCUCUCUGCCACCGCCUGCGACCCUCCUGCCGGGGGCAGCCCCAGGACCGCUGUCUCGAAGGUCUCCAAAAAAUCACUGCACGUCGUCAUUUUAUGGAGCGCCA
Molecule: long non-coding RNA, 1100 nt
Organism: Cyclopterus lumpus (lumpfish)
Lineage: Eukaryota; Metazoa; Chordata; Actinopteri; Perciformes; Cyclopteridae
Exons: 6
Source: RefSeq, a predicted model, not a curated record